RNAcentral lists this ribosomal RNA (771 nucleotides) under uncultured Neocallimastigales. RNAcentral's name for it is "partial large subunit ribosomal RNA". It matches the Rfam family "Eukaryotic large subunit ribosomal RNA", at positions 24 to 628 of the family's 3401-position model. Lineage: Eukaryota; Fungi; Neocallimastigomycota; Neocallimastigomycetes; Neocallimastigales. The record is from RNAcentral.
GUAGUCUCGCACAGAUGCAUAUCAAUAAGCGGAGGAAAAGAAACUAACAAGGAUUCCCUCAGUAACGGCGAGUGAAGCGGGAAGAGCUCAAAUUUGAAAUCUUGAAAGGUCACCUUUCACGAAUUGUAGUUUAAAGAAGUGUUUUCUGUUACGAUCGUAAUAUAAGUUCUUUGGAAUAGGGCAUCACAGAGGGUGAGAAUCCCGUCUAUGAUUGCGAUUUGUAGCUUUGUGUUACACUUUCAAAGAGUCGGGUUGUUUGGGAAUGCAGCCCAAAACGGGAGGUAAAUUUCUUCUAAGGCUAAAUAUUGGCGAGAGACCGAUAGCGAACAAGUACCGUGAGGGAAAGAUGAAAAGAACUUUGAAAAGAGAGUUAAAUAGUACGUGAAAUUGUCAAAAGGGAAGCGUUUAACACCAGUGUUGUUUUCUGAAAAUCAACCUCUGUUAGCUUUAUGCAUGUUUGUUUAGACCUAAUCAGCUAUCUUGCAUGUUCUAUUGUUUGCAGUGGUGCACUUUUCAGUUUACAGGUCAACAUCAGUUUUUUUUACCGUAAAAAAGUUAAAGAAAGGUAGCUCAUGGCUCCGGUCGUGAGUGUUAUAGUCUUUUUCCUAUGCGGUAGGAGAGACUGAGGUCUGCAGUGUAGGCUAUUUGGCUAGAUACUCAGGUGCUAUGUGAUACCAUUUCAUAAACAACUUGUUGAUUAUGUUUUGUCUAUUGCAUACUCGCUUGUACUAUCAUACCUACGCUUAGGAUGUUGAGUCGUAGAGCACGCAG